GGGCUGUGAGGGUUCCUGGCGUGCUGAUUUGUGGCUUAUGAUAAAAUCACAUUGCCAGGGAUUACCACACAGUC
This is a non-coding RNA of Xiphophorus maculatus (southern platyfish), 74 nucleotides long. The record is from Rfam. NCBI's taxonomy places the organism in Eukaryota, Metazoa, Chordata, Actinopteri, Cyprinodontiformes, Poeciliidae.